RNAcentral lists this ribosomal RNA (253 nucleotides) under uncultured bacterium. RNAcentral's name for it is "partial 16S ribosomal RNA". It matches the Rfam family "Bacterial small subunit ribosomal RNA", at positions 524 to 776 of the family's 1533-position model. The record is from RNAcentral.
UACGUAGGGGGCAAGCGUUGUCCGGAUUCAUUGGGCGUAAAGAGCGUGUAGGCGGCCAGGUAGGUCGGUUGUGAAAACUGGAGGCUCAACCUUCAGAGGUCGACCGAAACCAUCUGGCUAGAGUCCGGGAGAGGAGAGUGGAAUUCCUGGUGUAGCGGUGAAAUGCGCAGAUAUCAGGAAGAACACCCGUGGCGAAGGCGGCAUCCUGGACCGACACUGACGCUGAGGAGCGAAAGCCAGGGGAGCAAACGGG